RNAcentral lists this ribosomal RNA (304 nucleotides) under uncultured bacterium. RNAcentral's name for it is "partial 16S ribosomal RNA". It matches the Rfam family "Bacterial small subunit ribosomal RNA", at positions 509 to 807 of the family's 1533-position model. The record is from RNAcentral.
CAGCAGUCGCCGCGGGAAUACGUAGGUGGCAAGCGUUGUCCGGAAUUAUUGGGCGUAAAGGGCUCGCAGGCGGUUUCUUAAGUCUGAUGUGAAAGCCCCCGGCUCAACCGGGGAGGGUCAUUGGAAACUGGGAAACUUGAGUGCAGAAGAGGAGAGUGGAAUUCCACGUGUAGCGGUGAAAUGCGUAGAGAUGUGGAGGAACACCAGUGGCGAAGGCGACUCUCUGGUCUGUAACUGACGCUGAGGAGCGAAAGCGUGGUGAGCGAACAGGAUUAGAGACCCGCGUAGUCCCUGUCUCUUAUAC